AUGGACAAGCCGGCUGUGGGGCCCUGGGCAAGGAACACGCCAAGAAGCUGCGCCCAGGGAGAUUUUGCUGCCUGUGCUGAUACCAGGACACGUCCUGCGUUCCUUAUGCCAGCGACUAAGCCUCACCGCGGCUGUAGUGCUUUCACCCCACCAGAGGCUCUGUGCGCUCUCCGGCUGAUGCGGCCGGGCCGGGCCCGGGGCCGGGUGCCCGAGGCCGCGGCGGGGCCGGGCGGGGCGGGGAGGCCCCGCAGCCGGUUCCCUUUUUGCCCGGCGUGUGAUUGGCGGCGGCUUCGGAGCUGCCUCUGCCGCCGGCUAUGGAGCCUCCCCGCCGGCCCCGCCGCUUUUCCUCAGCUUCCUACUGAGGGAAACACCUGUCCGGAGCCGGGGCCGGGGCCGCUGCUGCGAGUCAACAUUUUUGCAUGAUAUCUACUACCAGUGUAGGAUUUGUACUGCUUGAUGCUCUUCAAAAGGAAAAGCAUUCUGACUUCUUUUAAAAUGAGCAAUCAUAUGUAUAAUCAACUUGGUUAAAACUUCCUUCCUGGUAAGUGCAGCACUUCCUUUGCAUCUGGAUAUGAGAGCGAGCAAGAAAAGCAGAACAGCUUAAACAAAGAAAUUUUUUGUGUGAAUGAUCUUUUAAAAUAAUAGGAACUACAAAAUUUAAACAAAUGAGUCAUCUUCAGCAAUUCAGCCUUUGUUUUAUAAGCAGGUAAUAUUUCCUUAUACUUUGUCAAUUAUAGGGGUGGUGUGUCCACAGUUGCUGCUUUCUGGAAGUCAAAAGAAGAAUUUUAGUUAGCAUUCUAUGUUGUUAGAGUUUAAUAUUUUAUAUUUUUAUCUGCUUCUUUUAUUAUCUCCUAAGGCAUCAUUACACUGGCUUUACUUUUCUCCAGCAGUUAAAGAUUUUAUGUGUAGAAAGUGUUGCUUGGAAAAGUUCAGUAUGUUGCUGUAACUUGGCUUGUGUGAGCGCACUCAGUCAGCACUGAAUAAUUUCCGUUUUAAUAUUGGUCAAUGGAGAUUAACUGAGUGUGCUGGUUUUGCAUUAUACGAUAUUUUUUGUUUACUGAAUGCUGAUAAGGUAGGCUACUCAUGUUUAAUAUUGUUUUACUGGUGUUUUAGGUGUGAUUUGAUGUAUAGAGUAAUAAAUCAGCAUCAGCUUGGGUGAUUUUUCUUCUA
Molecule: long non-coding RNA, 1170 nt
Filed under: Parus major (Great Tit)
Lineage: Eukaryota; Metazoa; Chordata; Aves; Passeriformes; Paridae
Description: lncRNA (ENSPMJG00000004720.1)
Source: RNAcentral